This 1226-nucleotide small RNA is filed under the name Pongo abelii (Sumatran orangutan). RNAcentral describes it as "processed transcript". Lineage: Eukaryota; Metazoa; Chordata; Mammalia; Primates; Hominidae. The record is from RNAcentral.
GUGACCUCGCUGUGGCCCCGGCAGCGGCUGCGGGGAAAGUCGCGAGGAGCAUCCGCUUCGGCUGCAGCCAUUUACUGAGGACCCACUGGAUGUCAAGUACUGUGCAUAGUUUUCUUCGAUUGUUGCAACAUCCCUUGCAAGUUUCUGGACCAGCAAAGCUGAAGAAACCCAAACUUGGACUGAAGUGACUCUACUAAGGUCAGACAGCUGGAGUCGGGACCACAGCACAGGCAGGUACCAGAAGAUGAGCUGGGACAAUGUGUGCUUGUGACCGCCUCUGCAGUCAGUGGUUCCCAUGAUCCCUGGCCAUCAACCUGACCAACUGCAAGUAUGAGAGUGUGCGUCGGGCAGCCCAAAUGUGUGGCCUGAAGGAGGUGGGGGAGGAUGAAGAGUGGACUCUGUACUGGACAGACUGCGCUGUCUCGCUGGAACGAGUCAUGGACAUGAAAAGGUUUCAGGAAAGAAAAAACUGAGUCAUCCCAUGUGGCAAUGCUGGACCAGGAACAAUACGAGGAUUCUCACCUGGGAAAAUACCGGCGGAUCUACCCUGGGCCUGACACGGAGAAGUAUGCCCGCUUCUUCAAGCACAAUGGCUCCCUCUUCCAGGAGACUGCUGCUUCCAAGGCCAGAGAGGAGUGUGCCAGCUGCUGCCGGGACAGCUGGACACCAUGAGGCCUCAAGAAAUUGUGGAAGAGGAGGAGCUGGAGCGGAUGAAGGCCCUGCUACAAAGGGAGACUCUCAUCCGAAGCCUGGGUAUUGUAGAGCAGCUCACCCGUCUGCAGCACCCUGGCCCCCAGGGCCAGAAAAAACUUCAUGAGAGUCGGGUGAGGGUCCCUGUGAAGUCUCCCAGAGGAAAAGGGAACAAGGGCUGUCAUCCCAGGACAUGGUGUUGAUCUCAACAAAGGAGGCUUGUGUGACGGUAUCUGUCAGUGGAGCCUGGGAAAGCAGAGUGUGCUAGCUGGACCUUGGGAGAGGGUCUGUUGAUUCCUUUUGCGUCUGUUCCCAAGCUCCUUUGUUUUAGAUAUGACAUCCAGCAAAGUGCAGCUCCAAACCUUCUCAUUUACAAGAAACUUGCUCUCUAUAUUCCUGUCCCAAAAUAACCCCAUACUCACGACUGACAAAUAACAAGCCCACCACCCUCAGUGGCUUCUGUAUAAUUUUCUCCCUAGCACUGCCAGUGCCCUGGCUCUAAUGGGAGAUAAGUAAACAGAUUUGGGCCAACAAAA